This is an RNA transcript of Bactrocera dorsalis (oriental fruit fly), 6631 nucleotides long. It is a transcript of the gene named glutamate receptor ionotropic, kainate 2, with no coding region annotated. Lineage: Eukaryota; Metazoa; Arthropoda; Insecta; Diptera; Tephritidae. The transcript is spliced from 4 exons. The record is from RefSeq and is a predicted model, not a curated record.
AUGUCAUGAACCAAUCUAACGUUUCAAAUAAAGAACCGAUGAGAUUUUGCAAAUUUUAUGCGUUUUUUUUUAAAAAAAAGUUAUCAAGCUCUUAAAAAAUCACCCUUUAUUAUUAACAAAAAGCUUGACUAUGUCUCUAAAUUUAUCCCAUCAGAGUUUGGCCGCAUAUCUAGAAGUUUAGAUGAGAUUCAUAAUUGGAAAUCGACUGAGUUUAGGCAGUUUUUGCUUUAUUCUGGUAUAUUCGUUCUUAAAGAUUGUAUCAGUACCGAUCAAUACUAUCACUUCCUGCUGCUACAUAGUAGUAUUCGACUUUUGUCAAAUGAAAAAUCGCACCGAAUUGAAGCCGAUAUUGCCCAACAAAUGCUAACAGAUUUCGUUAAUAUUUUUGGAAUUUUAUAUGGUGAUGAAUUGGUUAGCUUUAAUAUUCAUGGACUACUUCACUUGGCAGAUUGCGUAAAACAGUUUGGACCAUUAGAUUCUUUUUCAGCGUAUCGUUUCGAAAACUAUAUGCAGAAUAUAAAAAAAAUUGUAAAUAAACCCAAUAAAAUUCUACAGCAAAUAUAUCUUAGACUUGAUGAAAAACAGGGUAUUGAAUCAAAUUCAGAGAAUGUGCCAAAAUUUGCAUCAUUUGAUUUAAAUCCCAACAAGCAUAAAGAUAGUUUUUGUUUUAGUGAGUUGACAGGACCAAUAAAGGUAUUUAAUGUCAUCAAGUCUCAACAGUUGUAUGAAAUUGUCUGCAAAGUUUUCAGAAAGACUGAAAACUACUUUAAUGAACCUGUAGAAUCGUAAAGUGGCCUAGGGAUUGUAGUCGUAAGUGAGUUAGAUGAAGAAAUGGUAACAGUUCCUAUCGAAGAGAAAUAUUUGCUAAUACCACUUUUACACCAUCUUUUUAACACAUUUUCCCAUUAACCACUGAUUUGCACAUUCCACUUUCAAUUCCACUACUUUCAAAUUUAAUAUGCAAUUUUGGUUUUACUAAUAUAACCAAAACUGUAUAUAAAUGCAAUAUAAUAAAAAACAUAAUAACAAAUAUAAAACAUCAUAAAAAAUAUACAGUAUUGUUCAUAUGUUAAGCAACAAACUCCAAUUGCAAUAUGUUGAACGACAUUUUAACAAUACUGUAUAUUUUUAUGAUGUUAACCUAAUAUAAUUAAUAAAAUAUAAUAUAAUAAUAAUAUAAUUAUUAUAUAUACAAAUGAGUAACAUAUUCGAGACGCAAGAUGAAGGUGGUAAGUUAAAAGGAAAAUACUCAUCAAAAAAAUAUUGGCAACCCUUCUCGUGUUCAGUUGUGCUUUGUUUCGCGCUCUGGCGAAUUUGUUUAAUUUUAUUUAAAACUUUAUUUGAAAGUGUCUGGAUUAAGUGAUCUUUUACGAUAAGUAUCAGUGUUAUAUUGUGCUGUUGAAUCAAUUGAUAUUUAGUAAUUGUGUGUUGGCUAAUUUUAAUUUAUUCCGGCGAGUCAUUUUAAAUUUGUUGUUGUGCUACAUUUUAAGUAGUGCAAUUGUUAGUGUUAAUUUACUUUGCUUACUUAAAUUUCUUUCUUGUUUUUAUUCGUUUCCAUCUUUGUCCACAGCUGUUCGCGAGUUUCUUACUUUUCGCGUAUUACAGUGCAUCUCAAACUGCUCGCUACAUUGGUUGUUAUCUUUGAUAACCAUCAAUUUUUAUUGCAUUCACUUGUCAUAAAUGUUUUUGUCAUUGCUCGUUGUUCAUUUAUUAUUUACCAUUUUUAUAUUUCUAUUUAAUAUUGUUUUUUUCUUUUUUUGUUUUUUUUACACAUUAUGACUUGUAACUUCCGAACUGCUCUGUAAAAGGCGAGUCGGAACGUUUUGUUUCUUGCUGGCUUUGUGAUGGGCUUGCCCAUCUUAAAUGUGCUGGACUGACAGGUAGGAUAUUGGAUUCAAUUCUUGACAGUAAGGGAUUGCGCUGGUCUUGCUUAAAAUGCAGACCAACUGAAAUUGAAUUGUUUAAGGUCUUUAAGCAAGCGCGCAAUGGUUUCAAGGAGAUUGGUCAUAAGCUUGAAACCCUUACUGAAAAAUUUAGGCAUUAUGAAAUGCUUUUUCAAUCAUUUAAAUCCCUAAAUGUUCAGGAAGAGAAUCAAAAACCUUCAUCAAAACGUAAACGUCCGUCUGAUGAAGAUACCACUGUACCUUCCUUAAAACGAAUGCCCCCACCCACUAUUGACCUUAUUAAUCUGUCAUCCCCUUGUCCUCAAGGUGAGAAAGUUCUGUCUGCUCAGGACACAGUGAAAACUGUUACUGAACACAGUAAGCGGAAAACUUCCCAAGAUCCGCCUGCAAAUACGUCCAAAUCAGCUAAUAAAAACUUAGUGGUAAUACCGCAGAAAAAAGCAAUAUUUGUCUCGAGACUUGCUGCGGAUACCACAGUCGACGAUAUAAAAAAUUACAUCUCGUCGAAAUUAAAAACGGAAGAUACGGACAUCCGGAAAUUUAAUUUCAAAUACAACAGAGAUAUUUCGUCAUCAACGUAUCCGCAGACAGUUUUCAAUCGAUACUUGAUAACUCAUUCUGGCCAUCGCGAAUUCGAGCACAAACGUGAUAAGCCCCCUGUAGUUAUCACCAAAUUGCUAAGAAAUCCCAGUAUUACAAAAAACUAUUUACAAAAAUUCGCUGAUUGUUUAUUAUCAAAAUGUUAGAGGUCUUAAUACAAAAUUUGCCGAUUUGUAUUUAAACAGCAUUCAUUGUAACCUUAAAAUCAUUGCUUUCACGGAAACUUGGCUAAAGCCUCACAUUUUUGAUAAUGAAAUAUUCAUCAGCGAAUUCCAAAUCUUUAGAUAUGACCGGCUGGACAGAAAAGGAGGUGGUGUCUUGUUUGCUGUUCAUUCUUCAAUUCCAUCUGAAGAAGUCGACGUUUCGCAUGCGGACUUCAUAGAAUUUAAGUGCAUUCGUAUUUGCGCUAAUAGUGGCCAUAUCUACUUAACUUUAUCUUACAUACCGCCUCACUCGGACAUAUCUGUAUAUUUGCAGCAUGCUUCAUUAAUAAAUAAGGUUUCCUCAAUAGCUAAUAAUACUGAUUCCAUGAUUGUUUUGGGAGAUUUCAAUUUAUCGUGCGUAUCAUGGAAAUCUAUUGAUGAUUACACCAUUCCUAUUAGUACUCGCUUAUGUUUUAACGAGUUCUUAGAUGAAAUGUCGGAGUUGGGUCUUAACCAAAUUAAUUUAAUUUCAAACGAGUUUGGUAAGUUCUUAGAUCUAGUUUAAGUUGAUAACGCUUCAAUGCUCUCCGUUGUCCGAUGUCCGAUGUGAUCCUUUGGUUCGCCCAGAGGACCAGUAUCAUCCUGCUUUGAAAAUUGACAUCGAAAUCUUAGCUAACUUUGCUCAUAAUAAUACACAAGACCUUUGUUUUCGGUUCAACUUUGCGAAAGCUAAUUUUAAGAAGAUUAAUUACGAACUUUCUAAAGUAGCUUGGCCAGAUUACAGUGGCAAUAUUGCAUUUAGUGCUUCCCACUUUAAUGAAACUAUUUUAAACUUAUUUGAAAAAUAUGUUCCGAAGUGCGUUGUUACUCAAAAAAGGAGUUCUAAUUUAUGGUUUUCGAAAGAAUUAUGUAAAUUAAAAAAUAGAAAAUCUCGUGCUUUUAAACUUUUUAAAAAAACUGGUUUAGUUGCUGACUAUUCAAAAUAUUCUAAAUUGCGUCGACAAUUUGCUGAACUUAACAAAAUAUGUUAUAAUAAUUAUAUAAAUAAAGCAAAAAAUAAUAUUAUACGUAAUCCAAAAUUGUUCUAUGGUUUCGUCAACUCCAAACGCACGAUUUCUAACUUUCCGUCCGCUAUGAAAUAUAAGUCUAGUAUGUCUAGUGACAAUCACACCAUUUCUAAUAUGUUCGCUGAAUUCUUUAAGUCCAAUUACUAUCCAAAAUCUCCAAAAAAUGUUCCGCAUCAGCACAAGUUAUGUUCGAGUUUUGUCAUUAAUGCGCCUAACAUUUCCGAAGAAGACCUCUUAUAUCAGUUGAACAUGUUAGAACAAUCAUACAAUUAUGGCCCAGAUAUGAUUCCAUCAUGCUCUCAUGCCCUCAUGCCCUCAUAUAUACCAACCCCUAACAAAACUAUUUAACUCAUCUCUUAUGCAAGGCUUAUUUCCACCCAUAUGGAAAAAGUCAUUUAUAAUUCCUUUACAUAAGAGUGGAUUUAGGUCAUCUAUUGAAAACUAUAGGGGAAUAGCAAAGUUGUCUGCAAUACCUAAACUUUUUGAAGCAAUUAUAACAGACGACAUAACCUUCCGGAUCUCUCCACUAAUUUCUUGUUCUCAGCACGGUUUUCGUAAAGGGAAAUCUACAAUAACUAACUUGCUUAAAUUUGUAUCACAUGUAUCAGCUGGCUUUAGGGAGAAUAAGAAUACUGAUGUUAUUUACACAGAUUUCAGUAAAGCUUUUGAUAAAGUAAACCAUUCAAUUCUUUUGAAUAAACUUGACCUUCUUGGUUUUCAACCAAUAUUUCUAAAAUGGGUUGCUUCUUAUCUUAGCAAUAGAAUUUAACAAGUCUUAUUUAACGAUACUUUUUCUGACAUAAUCAAUGUUCCUUCAGGCGUUCCACAAGGUAGCUAUCUUGGUCCAAUUCUGUUCUUGUUAUUUAUUAAUGACAUAUCAUCUGUUGUUAAGUUUUCAAAAGUCUUAUUAUAUGCUGACGAUGUAAAACUUUUUAAAACGUAACUUCAAACAACGAAAGAUGUUAGUUGCAAACAGACUUAAACAACCUAGUUUCUUGGUGUGAUAGAAAUGACUUGCCAUUGAACCUUAAAAAAUGUAAAACAAUGUGCUUUUCACGUAGAUCUGUAGACCCAACUUCAUACACAAUACAAAACUUUAGGUUGUCGCAAGUAUGCAGUUUUGUUGAUCUGGGAGUAACUAUGGACCCCAAACUCAAUUUUAAUCUUCACGUAUCUUCCACGGUUUUUAAAGCUAAAGGCGCUCUUAGUUUUGUUAAACGUUGGUCUAAAGAAUUUAUAGAUCCGCUUACCACAAAAAUUCUUUUUACAUCUCCGGUGAGGCCUAUAUUAGAGUGUGCUUCUAUGGUAUGGAACCCUAGUUACCAAGUCCAUUCGGAUAAGUUAGAGUCCGUUAAAAAACAAUUCUUACUUUUUGCCUUAAAUCAUUUGCAUUAGGAUUCCAGUUUAAAUCUUCCCCCUUACACUAACCGUUUAAAACUUAUAAAUCUCCCGACACUCGCUAGUCGUAGGGAGAUGCUUGGUAUAAUAUUUCUUGUAAAACUCAUGAAUGGGUCAGUCUGUAGCCCAUCUCUCUUAUCUGAUAUUAAUUUUAACGUCCCCGCUCGCUCUACCAGGCAGUAUAGACCCUUACUUUUAAAAUUUUCUAGAACAAAUUUUGAGCUAAACGAACCAUUCCGCCGUAUAUGUCAUGAUUUCAAUUUUUAUUCCAGCACAUUUGAUUUAACAGACUCACUUUUUACAAUUAAAAAAAUUAUUUUAUCUACUCUUAACAAGCAAAAUUAUAAACUUUAAUUUAAUUCUUAAUUUUGGCUGUUGAAAUUUUUGUUUCUGUAGCUGAGCAGCUUAAGAUCGCAACGCUUAAAACUCUUUUGCCUUUUAUGACUCGGCUAAUUCCGCUCGUUCGCGGAUUGCGCCCCUCGCGUCGGUUGGGCGGGAGGAGGGUAACCGUUGGGUAUUAUUAUAAGUAUAAAUAUAUUAAAAAUUAUUAAUUUUUUUGUAGAGAUUCCAAUCGUUGAGAGGAUUGAGCGGCGCCAAUAUUUAGUGGGAAAAUCAAGAACACAACAAAACUCAGGUCAUUUUUAACAUAAAGCUUCUAAUAACAUAUACUAUAUAUUAACUUUUUAAAUUUAAGAUAUUCUUGAAGCGUUAAAAGGCAUCAUUGCGGGUCAAAAGAAUAUACAAGAAAGGCUAGACAAAUUGGAGGAAAACGUAUGUAUAACUUUGCAGAACCAAAAAAACGCUUAGUGAAGGCCAAUCGUCACUGGUUCACAACCAAACUGCUAUAUUUGAAAAACUGAAUGAGAUGGAGUCGAAAGUAAUUGUUUUACAAUAUUGCAUAUUGUCGAAAAGGCUAAGGUUUUGGCGCAAAAUAAGUCAAUCAGAGAAUGCAAAGUUCUCUUCAAACGAGUGGAGCAGUCAGUGUGCCGCAUGACCGGCGAAGUGAUUGACAAAGAGCUGGAUGACGUCGCUAGCACUUUUCCGAUGGAGUCGCAAGCAACAGUUGCGGAAGUGGAAGAUAGGCUGCAAAGCCAAGACUAUGCCCAAACAAUGACUACAUUCCUUCACAAACUUAAAACUUAACGCCAGUGAUAAUGUGGCUGACGUAAUACCUAAGGUUUUUUCAGAUGAGCUCUUGGAAGGAUGCAAUUGGGAUGGCAGGUGGAGCAAGAAAUCCCUAUGCAAGUUGGCGCUGGUUGAUACCACUUUAAGAAGUGUGUUUCAACAACAAGGGUGUAGGAGUUUCGAGCAAAAUAUAAAGCGAUCAAUACUCCUCAGCCAUCACAGGUUAAAGCAGCGCACUUAUUUAAAAAAAAAAGGAAACAAUAAUUAAAUUUAAAGUACGAUCAAUUAAAACCAAAAAAUGAAGCUUUGGAGUGACCAGUGUAGCUAUAUGUUGUUCAGGUUGUUAAACCUAGUAUGUAAGAAAGAAAUGCAAUAUCACAUGUAUACAAAAGUU